GAAAUAAGCCAUCUUAUCGCUUCCCGGCAACGGGGGGAGGAAAGUCCGGACAGCGAAGAGCAUCAUGCUACCUAACGGGUAGGGACAGCGUUGGCGACGAUACUGUUACAGCCAGUGCCACAGAAAAUAUACCGCCGUGAGCAAUCAGGGUAAGGGUGAAAUGGUGGGGUAAGAGCCCACCGGUUUGCCAGCAAUGGCAGAUGCAGGGUAAACCUCAUGAGCUGAAAGACCAAAUAUACCGGCGUUUAAGGGUUGCUCGCCCCAGCCGGAGGGUAGGUUGAUAGAGGUACCGGGCGACCGGUAUCCCAGAUAAAUGAUAAGUGAAAUACAGAAUUCGGCUUAUAGGCUUAUUUCUAUU
Molecule: RNase P RNA, 358 nt
Filed under: Emticicia sp. CRIBPO
Lineage: Bacteria; Pseudomonadati; Bacteroidota; Cytophagia; Cytophagales; Leadbetterellaceae
Description: RNase P RNA component class A
Rfam family: Bacterial RNase P class A
About the family: Ribonuclease P (RNase P) is a ubiquitous endoribonuclease, found in archaea, bacteria and eukarya as well as chloroplasts and mitochondria. Its best characterised activity is the generation of mature 5'-ends of tRNAs by cleaving the 5'-leader elements of precursor-tRNAs.
Source: RNAcentral